UAAGUGAUGAUAACCCAAAUAGAAAUUUUUUUUUGAUUCCUUUCGAUUCUCUGUUCUAGAGCGUUGGGGGAUACUCUGUGAUUCUAUAUUCAUAGUUACUCUGAUU
Molecule: small nucleolar RNA, 106 nt
Organism: Dictyostelium discoideum AX4
Lineage: Eukaryota; Evosea; Eumycetozoa; Dictyosteliales; Dictyosteliaceae
Rfam family: Dictyostelium snoRNA DdR4
Source: Rfam